This 243-nucleotide long non-coding RNA is filed under the name Lathyrus oleraceus (garden pea). RNAcentral's name for it is "Pisum sativum (pea) long non-coding RNA (PSAT_LNC039372)". The record is from RNAcentral. Lineage: Eukaryota; Viridiplantae; Streptophyta; Magnoliopsida; Fabales; Fabaceae.
UAACCUGCCACGCAUAUCAUUCUUAUCCUAUUGUUACCAUUUUUUAAACUUCAAGUUCUUGUCAGAAUGUAUAACAUACGUUCUCAUACACUCUUGAAAGUCUUGUUUUGUAGCAAAAUAUGUCCCUAUCCACUUAUAAUUCUCCCAUAUUUCUGGAAGCUUAAAGGUUUGAAAAGUAGUCUUUGAACCAUCUUCAUUUUCAGUGUCAUACUCACUAGGUAACUCAUCAUUGUUGUGUUAUGC